UACGUAGGUGGCAAGCGUUGUCCGGAAUUAUUGGGCGUAAAGCGCGCGCAGGUGGUUUCUUAAGUCUGAUGUGAAAGCCCACGGCUCAACCGUGGAGGGUCAUUGGAAACUGGGGAACUUGAGUGCAGAAGAGGAAAGUGGAAUUCCACGUGUAGCGGUGAAAUGCGUAGAGAUGUGGAGGAACACCAGUGGCGAAGGCGACUUUCUGGUCUGUAACUGACACUGAGGCGCGAAAGCGUGGGGAGCAAACAGG
This 253-nucleotide ribosomal RNA is filed under the name uncultured bacterium. RNAcentral describes it as "partial 16S ribosomal RNA". It matches the Rfam family "Bacterial small subunit ribosomal RNA", at positions 524 to 776 of the family's 1533-position model. The record is from RNAcentral.